This 200-nucleotide unclassified non-coding RNA is filed under the name soil metagenome. RNAcentral's name for it is "partial contains internal transcribed spacer 2 and large subunit ribosomal RNA". The record is from RNAcentral.
CUGUUCGAGCGUCAUUACAACCCUCAAGCUCUGCUUGGUAUUGGGCAUCGCCAUCUUUGGCGUGCCUCAAAGUCAUUGGCGGUGCCACCUGGCUUCUAGCGUAGUAAUACUUCUCGCUAUGGAGUUUGGGUGAGUGCUUGCCAUCAACCCCUAAUUUCAAGAUUGACCUCGGAUCAGGUAGGGAUACCCGCUGAACUUAA